Molecule: long non-coding RNA, 1401 nt
Filed under: Rattus norvegicus (Norway rat)
Lineage: Eukaryota; Metazoa; Chordata; Mammalia; Rodentia; Muridae
Description: long non-coding RNA NONRATT031768
Source: RNAcentral
GACAAGGCUGUGGAAGGACAUUUGGCAUACACAGGUCGGAGUCUGAAGUCAAGGGCCCAAGUUCACUUCCAGAACCAGCUUUGCAGUGAGUUCAAACAACCCAUGGGCAUGCCCAGUUCCUGCCGGAUGGGGCUCACAACAUGGCUGAUAAAUCUUCAGUGUAAAUGGCAGAUUCCAAACAGUAUAGCCAAAGCCAAUACGUCAGAGAGAGAAACAUAAUCUGCCCUCCCGUUCUCAGAGCAUGCCUGGAAAUGGUGGUACGCACAUCCACUGACCGACUGGCAGCUGGUGAAACUUGGAGUCAGGCACCAGAGAGAAGAGAAAGCUCUGGGUUUUCUCCAGGCUCUCAGGGCUUGUCUUCCUUUUAUGGUGUCGUGUGAUACUGCAUAGGAAAGAGAGUCAGGAGGAGGGUUUGCAGAAAGAGGAGCAGAUGGAUGGGAUUCACACAAAAGACCCAGCUCAGUGGGUCGCCGUGCAUGGAGUGGAAGCAGAAAAUUCUUAAACCAAAAGGUGGGCAGACACAGAGUUUACAGACCAUCACAUGCUGAAUAUUAACCCAGUACACUCAUUCGCCAGUUAGAGUGCUUGUCAUCACACUCGUAGAAGGCAAAUUUUGAAUGGGAACAAACAAAAAGUCAAGUCUGAAGGAAGUCAGUUUCCAACCUUCACCUUCCUAUGGAGUUCUCUGUCUACACCAAAUGCCUGCUAUAAAAGCGAAUGGGCGCCUGUUCUCAAUUUUAGCACCCAGUUUUUCCCUAUAUUUUAUUUUUUAUUAUGGGAAUUAAAACAUGUUUAUAGCAGGAUAUUUCCAAAAUAGAACUGCGUGAAGAACAAAUAAAAUCAAAGGUAGUAACAUUUAAAAAAUAUUUUCUCUGUCAUUUGUAUAUAUAAACUCACAUGCAUAUUUCAUAAAUUCACAGUAUUAUGUUUCUAUAUAAUAUCCUGUUCUGUUCCUUGAACAAAAUAUAUCGUGAAUGUUUUCCUCAUGCACACACAUGUUUCAAUAGCAUAAUGGUUAAUGUCUGCAAAGUAUUCUAUUUUUAAUGAUUUUAGAAUAUUGCAUCGUAUGGAUAUAAUGACAAUAAUUUGUCUACUUCACUAUUGUAGAAAUUUAAUAUCCUUCUAGUAAGUUCUUUGUAUUACGGAGAACACUACUGUGUUUCAGUAGAGUUUUGGGGUCAUGUUUCUUAGAAGUUACAGAUUUAGGGAUAGGUUUUGUAGGACCUCUUCAAUCUCAGGAAAAUCUCCCUUUCCUCUAGGGGAAAUUUCCUAUGGUCACUCAAUGUGCUUCUCUAUACCCUAUCCCUAGCAACCAAGAAACCUCAGUUGCUCCACCUAUAAUCUAACCUAUAUGUGGGUUUAUUCUACCUGACAUUUGACAGGACGAUUUAUAAAAGAAGC